GUCCACGCCCUAAACGAUGUCGACUUGUUGUUGGGGUUUGUACACUCUCAGUAACGAAGCUAACGCGUGAAGUCGACCGCCUGGGGAGUACGGCCGCAAGGUUAAAACUCAAAGGAAUUGACUGGGACCCGCACAAGCGGUGGAUUAUGUGGAUUAAUUCGAUGCAACGCUAAAAACCUUACCUACCCUUGACAUGUCCUGGACCCUGCAGAGAUGCGGGGGUGCCCGAAAGGGAACGGGAACACAGGUGCUGCAUGGCUGUCGU
This 265-nucleotide ribosomal RNA is filed under the name uncultured bacterium. RNAcentral's name for it is "partial 16S ribosomal RNA". It matches the Rfam family "Bacterial small subunit ribosomal RNA", at positions 793 to 1055 of the family's 1533-position model. The record is from RNAcentral.